AACGAGCGCUGGCGGCAUGCCUAACACAUGCAAGUCGAACGAGACCUUCGGGUCUAGUGGCGCACGGGUGCGUAACGCGUGGGAAUCUGCCCUUGGGUUCGGAAUAACAGUUGGAAACGACUGCUAAUACCGGAUGAUGACGUAAGUCCAAAGAUUUAUCGCCCAAGGAUGAGCCCGCGUAGGAUUAGCUAGUUGGUGAGGUAAAGGCUCACCAAGGCGACGAUCCUUAGCUGGUCUGAGAGGAUGAUCAGCCACACUGGGACUAAGACACGGCCCAGACUCCUACGGGAGGCAGCAGUGGGGAAUAUUGGACAAUGGGCGAAAGCCUGAUCCAGCAAUGCCGCGUGAGUGAUGAAGGCCUUAGGGUUGUAAAGCUCUUUUACCCGGGAUGAUAAUGACAGUACCGGGAGAAUAAGCUCCGGCUAACUCCGUG
This 433-nucleotide ribosomal RNA is filed under the name uncultured bacterium. RNAcentral describes it as "partial 16S ribosomal RNA". It matches the Rfam family "Bacterial small subunit ribosomal RNA", at positions 29 to 507 of the family's 1533-position model. The record is from RNAcentral.